Molecule: long non-coding RNA, 433 nt
Filed under: Fukomys damarensis (Damara mole-rat)
Lineage: Eukaryota; Metazoa; Chordata; Mammalia; Rodentia; Bathyergidae
Description: lncRNA (ENSFDAG00000026539.1)
Source: RNAcentral
GAGGAGAGGAGCUGGUCCUAGUCCUGCUUCAGGGGUGGAGAGGACCUGCAGGGACCAGCCUGGAUCUGGAGGACCUUUCCUGAGAUGCCUGGACAGUCAGGAUGUUCUCCCCUCUAGAACAAUUCUUUUCUGCUUUUGAGUGAAUGGCCAAGGAGAGUUUGCUUCUUGGACCUGUCAUCCAUUAGCAGCUGAGCCAAUCACACUCCUGCAGUAUUCUUGGGAAGAGGAAGAAGCACAUGAAGGAAUCGCAGCAUCUUUUGAGGUGCUGGAAGCAAAGAAUGCUGUUCUAUUGACAGCAAGGAAUGCUGGGAGCUGAGCAAUGAUUCUGACUCUACGGUUAGUUGUAGAAGUUGGCAAGUCAUGCCAAGAGUGAUCAUGACCCUUGCCUUUAUACCUUCUUAUUCCUUUCAUGUGCUCCAUCUUCAUGACCUGC